RNAcentral lists this ribosomal RNA (488 nucleotides) under uncultured bacterium. Its description in RNAcentral is "partial 16S ribosomal RNA". It matches the Rfam family "Bacterial small subunit ribosomal RNA", at positions 28 to 507 of the family's 1533-position model. The record is from RNAcentral.
GACGAACGCUGGCGGCGUGCUUAACACAUGCAAGUCGAACGGAAAGGCCCUGCUUUUGUGGGGUGCUCGAGUGGCGAACGGGUGAGUAACACGUGAGUAACCUGCCCUUGACUUUGGGAUAACUUCAGGAAACUGGGGCUAAUACCGGAUAGGAGCUCCUGCUGCAUGGUGGGGGUUGGAAAGUUUCGGCGGUUGGGGAUGGACUCGCGGCUUAGCAGCUUGUUGGUGGGGUAGUGGCUUACCAAGGCGUUGACGGGUAGCGGGCCUGAGAGGGUGACCGGCCACACGGGAACUGAGAAAGGGUCAAGAGUCCGACGGGAGGCAGCAGUGGGGAAUAUUGGACAAUGGGCGCAAGCCUGAUCCAGCCAUACCGCGUGGGUGAAGAAGGCCUUCGGGUGGGAAAGACCUGUUGUGGGGAAAGAAAAGAAGCAGGUUAAUACCCCGCUGUUCUGACGGUACCCAAAGAAUAAGCACCGGCUAACUUCGUG